Molecule: long non-coding RNA, 2633 nt
Filed under: Dicentrarchus labrax (European seabass)
Lineage: Eukaryota; Metazoa; Chordata; Actinopteri; Moronidae
Description: lncRNA (ENSDLAG00005029010.1)
Source: RNAcentral
GAAUCUGAGAAUAUUCCAUCAUUUUCAGUUUGUGAGAAACGAUUCCUCUGCCUCCUAUGACCUGCUGAUCAUGAACAUCACUGAUUCAGAUGAGGGUCUCUACUACUGUGGAACUGAAAAGCAAAAAGUGGAGAAAACAGAAUACAGUACUCACAGAUAUGAUUACGGAUAUGGCAACGUCACAACCAGGAUCAUAUUAGACUCCAGCAGGCCUCAUCACACGGAGACUCCACAAGACUGUAGUGUGUGCUGGAUGCUUCUGUUCUCUCUGUGUCCAGCUUUUGCUGUUCUCUCCUCUCUCCUCUCCUCACUCUUGGUUUAUCACAUCUGUCAGAAAAAAGCUAAAGAACGUCGAGUUGAUCAACAAAAACCUGAAACUAGAGGUCAAACAAGACUGAAUCAGGAUGAAGAUGUGUGUUAUGCCGCACUGGAUAUCCGUCAACCAUCACAAAGACCAAAGAAGAAGAAAACGAAAGAAGAAGACUUCAGCAUGUAUUCUGCCAUCAAGACUUCUAGGAUGUAGGGGGUCUAAAACAAACAAGUACAAAAAAUUGAAAUGCGUAAUGGUGAUUGAUAAUUAAUCCUAGAAUUCAUAUAGACCAUUCUGUCUCCAUUUAAAGCUAAUGAUAACAGUCAUUGUUAUUUACAACAUAUAUAUGAAAAAAUUUAAUGCAUAAUGUAAAUGUACAAUGUUUUCUGUGUGUUUUAAGGUGAAAAAAGCAAUGAUGUUUUUGGAAAAGUAGAUACUAAACUGUUGUGUCAAUCCUCCUCUGAGGAUACAUCUAAUUUAGCUCGUUCACACUACCUACCUGAGCAGCGUGUGGGUGAGGCAUCUACACCCACGUUAAGAGAUUAGAGCAGUCACACUGCGGGCGUUUCACACGUCUCGGCUGCGGCUGCAGCAACGCUUCACUAGAAAGUCGAGGUCUCACCUAUUUUUUCAUGUGCCAUGCGUGGUUCCCAGCAAAAGAAAGUGAAAAGGGUCUGUUCAUAGUCAUAUCGACAAUAUACCUGGAACAGAUAGCCUUCACCUUUCACUACUGUUUGUCUAUAUGUGUAGAAUAUGUCACAGACAUGGAAAAGAAUGUAGCCUAUUUUUUAAACUCAACACCUCCUGUGUCUGUGUGAGAUUAAAAGCUCUCUGGCAUUUUUGUUGACAGAAUCCAUUCAUAUGUUAACAAGGCUUGUAUUGUAUGGUAUUUAUGAAAGGAAAAUUCAGUAUUCAUAGAAAGAUUGGGCUGGCAGCAGCAGCUCCACAGCUGACACGCUGUUGAUGGAACACUGCAGACACAGCUAUGCAGCGGUGUAGCCAAUCGCACUCUGCUCAGGUUGGCGGUGUGAACCAGGUGUCUUUCCACCUAUGCAAGUGGAGGGGCAGGGUGGUACCAGAACAGAGCCAUGCCACCAGAGCACAUCUUCAAGUUCUUCCAUGUGCAUACAAGGAAAGCUUAAGGCAAGGACAGCAGCAGCAAAGGGUACAGAACUACAUAUUGUAUUCACUUGUUUUUCUGACAAAUUUUUUCCCCCUGUUUUUCGGAGUAAUUUUUUUUCUGAAUUACCGAGAUCCUUCGAACUCCCGCGAGAACCUCCAACCUGCAAGUGACUCCCUGACUACAAAGUCCUCAGGUGCCUGCUUAGAGUCGACAAACUAAUGAUAAUACCAUCUAUAUGACUUAAAGACAGGACUAUCUCCCAGUGUCUUAAACCCAGAUCAAAGUAAAACUUGAUUGAACUAAACAAGCCGGUCAUGUUUGUUUCUGUUAAAUCAAGCUCUCAAUAAAGGAAUGAAUGUGUCUAUUGUUUCAAAUGCUCUCUAAACUCAGAAAAACAGAAGAAAUAAUUAUUCAGAAAAUCUGAAAAAAUUACUCUGAAAAACCCCAAAAAUAAUUUUAAAGUGAAUGCAAUACGUUUCCAUACAGAACAGAGCAGGCACCAAUGAUAAAAUCAGACACAGUGUAAAAGAAAGAGCUGUGAUGAAGGCUGGUUGCAAAGUGUCUUGCAGAGGAAGCAGCAAGGGUAGGCAGGCUAAAGCAGCGUAAAUAAGGUGCCUUGAAUUACUUUUUCCAAUUGUAUGCUUGAAGGGAAUCAGCUGAUGUAGCAGGGAUUGUGAGCUGAGCUUGACUUUGUGGCCUGCCUGACAAACACUAUACACAGUUUGUUGUUGGAAAGGGUGACAAAGAGUUUUAUUCUGAGCAUCAGUUAAUUCCACACCCACUGUUUUUCAUUGUUUCAUCCAUUCUUCACAAAAUAGAUGUGUGUAUAUAUAUCUCAUGUAUCUUAUUUCUUUAUUUAUUUAUAUAAACAUUUAUGAGCUGUUGUUUUUUUUUAAAAUAAAAUAGCUCUGUCACUUUUCAUAAUGGUUGUGAUGGCUGCUUCUCUGUAACAAUCAUAAUAGCAGUUUCCUGUUUUCAUCUCACGUCAGCCAUCAGCCCCGACACCUUCACCAGUAGAGUUUGAUACAAGCCCCUCAUUCACCUGCAGAGCCUAACAUGCAAACAGACUGAAGCUACAGUGUACUGCACAGCUUCAUUGUUCUUUGGAAACAUUAUCACCUCAAUGCAAGUAAGUUGAUCAUCCUAAAAGCCCUCUCGAGCACUUUUGCCGAGAGAUGACAUAAGCCUGAGAUUAGAUGU